UUGAACGCUGGCGGCAUGCCUUACACAUGCAAGUCGAACGGUAGAGGGGCAACCCUUGAGAGUGGCGAACGGGUGAGUAAUAUAUCGGAACGUGCCCAGUCGUGGGGGAUAACGCAGCGAAAGCUGCGCUAAUACCGCAUACGAUCUAAGGAUGAAAGCGGGGGAUCGCAAGACCUCGCGCGAUUGGAGCGGCCGAUAUCAGAUUAGGUAGUUGGUGGGGUAAAAGCCUACCAAGCCGA
RNAcentral lists this ribosomal RNA (239 nucleotides) under uncultured bacterium. Its description in RNAcentral is "partial 16S ribosomal RNA". It matches the Rfam family "Bacterial small subunit ribosomal RNA", at positions 30 to 276 of the family's 1533-position model. The record is from RNAcentral.